This is a non-coding RNA of Podarcis muralis (Common wall lizard), 466 nucleotides long. The record is from RefSeq and is a predicted model, not a curated record. Lineage: Eukaryota; Metazoa; Chordata; Lepidosauria; Squamata; Lacertidae.
GGGCGCUGCAUGCAAUCUCUUCCUGCUAGUAAACAAAGGCUCAACUUUUUGCCACCAUAUCCUGCUUUCCACCUCCAUCUCCCUGCAUAGGAAUCCUUUGAAUUAUUGGUCUCAUAUUGCAAGGACCACUAGAAGUAGCUCAAGUGCUCCUGGCUGAAAUUCCAGAGGAUCUAAAACUUUAUCGACAUCACAGCAAGUUAAGAUGUGGUGAAGCAGUGGAGAAAAAUAAAUACCUGAUUACUGCUGACCAAAGGGAAUAUCAACAAGAACUGAAAAAGAACUACAACAAGUUGAAAGAGAACCUCAGACCAAUGAUUGAGAGGAAGAUCCCAGAGCUGUAUAAACCUAUUGUGAGAGUAUUUCAAGGGGCUCUUUCCCUAAUUCUAGUUUUAGGAAAUAUGAAAAUCUGCCUCCACAGAACAGUUAAAAGCAGCAUCAUGAAAGGGAGCUAUCUACUUGCAGUGGA